Molecule: ribosomal RNA, 427 nt
Filed under: uncultured archaeon
Lineage: Archaea
Description: bacterial SSU rRNA
Rfam family: Archaeal small subunit ribosomal RNA
Source: RNAcentral
UACCAGCUCUCCGAGUAGUGUGGAUGUUUAUUGGGCCUAAAGCAUCCGUAGCUUGCUAAGCAAGUCCCCUGUUAAAUCCACCGAUUUAAUCGUUGGAUUGCGGGGGAUACUGUUUGGCUAGGGGACGGGAGAGGCCGACGGUAUUUCCGGGGUAGGGGUGAAAUCCUAUAAUCCCGGGAAGACCGCCAGUGGCGAAGGCUGUCGGCUAGAACGCGCCCGACGGUGAGGGAUGAAAGCUGGGGGAGCGAACCGGAUUAGAUACCCGGGUAGUCCCAGCUGUAAACGAUGCAGGCUAGGUGUUUGGGCGGCCACGAGCCGCCCUAGUGCCGCAGGGAAGCUGUUAAGCCUGCCGCCUGGGAGUACGGCCGCAAGGCUGAAACUUAAUGGAAUUGGCGGGGAGCACCACAAGGGGUGAGGCUUGCGGUUU